Molecule: non-coding RNA, 1360 nt
Organism: Camelina sativa (false flax)
Lineage: Eukaryota; Viridiplantae; Streptophyta; Magnoliopsida; Brassicales; Brassicaceae
Source: RefSeq, a predicted model, not a curated record
ACCUGUCAAAUAACAUUCUAAUAAUCUCAAAUUUAAGCAAAAGGUCCCAAAAUCUCAAUUCUCCCUUCACCGUACCCCUAGAUUAUCUUCGGACUGUUGAGAGACGAGAACAUCGAGCAGAAGGUUGUCAAAUUCGUCAAAUUUUGAUCUGAACGAAGCUUUGAAAACAACUUCAGGGUCAUCUUUGGUUUUGGUUGAAGGAGUAGACGAAGAAGUCGAAGGAAGCUGAGAGAGGAGAGGUCAGAGGAGUAAAAAAGGAUUGAAGUGAGCUGAGGUGACCCUUAGCCUUGCGUCAAUCGAAAUGGGUUCGGCUUGAAUUCAGUAAAGUUCUCUGCUUUUUUUCCUACCCUGUGUUUGUUUUCGUGAUGUGAAUAUUGAGCGAGAAUUGGGUUUCGUUACGAUCUGUGUAGCAAAAACUGUUUUAGGGUUCCGAUAAAGUUACCUUUUUUUGGGGUUUUAGACUCCAUUCUGGGUAACUUAUCUCUUGUUGGGACUCCAAUGUCAUAUAAAUCUCUCAAUUCGUUUAAUUUGUGGUAUUUUAUUAUUUAACAGUUACUUUCAUUUAUGUUUUUUUCAUUUUUCUGUUAGUUUAACCUAUGUGUUUGAAAUUUUAAAUUACUAUGAAUGAUGGUGAAGAGAAGAGUAAUGAUCUGGAGAAGAGUCAAGAAGUCUCUUAAAACGACUUUAGCGUUUUGUUUGCUCUUCUCCUUCAAGCGUCUUCUCGCUUUGCCGCUUGAUCAUGUUGUUUGUCUUUCAUGGUGAGAAUAAAGUUUUCUACUUUGUAACAAAUUCUCAAGCUUAUCUGAAUAUAUGGUACUAAAUUCUCAAGCUUUAUCAAGGUUCAUGCGUUGAGUGAGUUUAAACAUAUUGUUGUGGCUCAUUUCAUGGAUAAUCUCUCUUUUUUUUUUGGGUCCUUUCACUUCUCAUGCUGUUGGAUCUCAUGUUGUUGCAAUUCUUGUGAUUCUUGAUCUUGAAUCGGAUUCAAAAUAUGGGUUGAUGCAACCAACUAAGGUUUCUUUGAUUGUUGAUAUGUUGAAUGAUGGAUGUAAUGAGACCAAAAUCAAUUGUGCUAGACUGAUUACAGGAUUGAGGGAAGAGAAGGGGUUUAGAGCAGAGCUGGUCUCAGGUCAUAGUUUGCUUGUUGGGCUAAUGAGAUUGGUUAAGCAUAAGAGACAUAUAAAUGGAGAGCUUCCCGUGCUCUUGGGAUGCUUAAACCAGACAAGUUUGAAGCUUGAUGGUUAGCAUUGGAGCAUUGCCCCAAUUAGUCGAUAUAUUACUGUCUUUAGACUUAAAAUGUUUGGAAUUAGUGUUUUCUUAUUUUUGAUGCUUUUUGUUCAGAUUAGUGUUUCAGUUGUUUUCA